Podarcis muralis (Common wall lizard) is the source of this 1601-nucleotide non-coding RNA. Lineage: Eukaryota; Metazoa; Chordata; Lepidosauria; Squamata; Lacertidae. The record is from RefSeq and is a predicted model, not a curated record.
UUUAGGGCAAGUUUAUCACCUUAGGGCAUGAAUCAAAGAGUAAAAAUAACAUUUUACCGACGGUAAAUCUCUUUGGAAGCGAAUUAAGAUGGCUGCUGUGAAGAAAUGCAUUCAAGCUCUUUUAGCAAUUACAGCAACAUCAGGAGCAGCUACUGCAGGGACCGUUUGGGGCACACAAUUUCCCCUUCCCCAAGGUUCUUCAUUCAUAGUAACUGGAAUGGAGAGAUAAUAUUUGCCCCACAGACAUGACACAGUGAGUCAGUUUUACAGGGCAUCGCCACUUGUCCCUUUGCAACUGUGGGUUGAGGAAGCUGCUCCCCAGUGCCUUCCAGCACUCUCCCACAGCUGGAACAAUAACAGCCUAUGCCUGUCCGGCUAGCCUGGAUUAUAAUCCGGCAGCAGCCGUGGAGGAUCUCAGGUGGAGCUUUACAUCAUCUUCUAAUGUAAACAGCAUUGUAUGAGAGCCUGACAGUCCCCCAGGAUUUCCACUGAGCAGUGAUUGAUGCGAAAAGGGAUGGAAUUGCCAUGAUUCGGCAUCAGUCACAGUUCUCUCUUGGCUCUAAAGCUGACCCUGUUAGCACAGUCUGACUUGGAUCAUUUGUCUCAGAAGUACCGAGGGAUUUUAAAACAGCUGUGGAUUCAACCAUUUCAAACGGGAACAUACUUCUGGUUUGUGCAACUCCAUCCCAAGAGACAUCUGCUAUGAGGAGCGAUAAACUGAGAAACAGAAUAAUUACCACAGCUUGCGCUGUCUCAAACAACCUUCGGUGCUCACAUUUAAAUUGCUGGCACGGAAAGCCAAGAAUAUAACAGGGUAAAACAAGUUCCCAGCCACAUCUGCCCCAAAGCGAAUGUUUCUUUGCCACAUGAAGGAAACUGAAGCUUUUAUUUACAGACGUCCUCCAGCCGGUGUUAAAUGAAGCCAAUCUGGUUCCCAGGAUAUGAUUCUACUGUGUUAAAUGAUGGGAACACUACUGUGCCUUUCUCCCCAUAGAGGACUCCGUGGCCUAUCGGAGAAUUGCAAGUUGGGAAGGACUGACUUGGAAACCUAUUUUUCAACGCGAAGUGGCUACUUCCCACCCACCCCUCUGAAGUUUGCCCCGGAGGCUGUGUGGGAUGAUCUGUGGGCUUCUGAUCAGAGGGAAAGAAUGGCAGCAGUUUUAUUCCAAAACGCAGCUGUGGAUUAAUAUCACAAAGAAGAGUUUAGCCGGGCUUUUUUUCUUUUCUUUUCACAGUUCAUUCACAUAAUGAAUGUGAAUGUCAAGACACCUUCAUCUGAAGUCUGAGCGCUUUGGAACAAAGCAAAACAAAACAAAUUUAGUGGAGGUGUCAAGUUUCAGGAACGCAGGAGCGGAGGUGGCGAAAAGCUCCACACAGGCUCAGCAAUUGCUUUCUCUUCCAUCAUCCUGCCUGGAUAAAAUAUGACCACACUCCUGUCUUCUGCUCCACCCACUCCCAAAGGAAGAGACGGUUGAGAAUGUCUACAGCUUUGGCGCGUGAAAGGGCUGCAGUUUCUAUGAGACAAGCUGUAUUUUUUAGGAGGGGGGAGAAAGAACACCUUUUAGAAACUAACUUGGAGUAAAUUUGAGGUUAGGAAAUUC